Molecule: ribosomal RNA, 440 nt
Filed under: uncultured bacterium
Lineage: Bacteria
Description: partial 16S ribosomal RNA
Rfam family: Bacterial small subunit ribosomal RNA
Source: RNAcentral
CCUACGGGAGGCAGCAGUGGGGAAUAUUGCACAAUGGGGGGAACCCUGAUGCAGCAACGCCGCGUGGGUGAAGAAGUACUUCGGUAUGUAAAGCCCUGUCAGCAGGGAAGAAAAUGACGGUACCUGACCAAGAAGCCCCGGCUAACUACGUGCCAGCAGCCGCGGGAAUACGUAGGGGGCAAGCGUUAUCCGGAUUUACUGGGUGUAAAGGGAGCGUAGACGGCAAGGCAAGUCUGGAGUGAAAGCCCGAGGGUCAACCACGGGACUGCCGUGGAAACUGUGUUGCUUGAGUGCAGGAGGGGUAAGCGGAAUUCCUGGUGUAGCGGUGAAAUGCGUAGAUAUUAGGAGGAACACCGGUGGCGAAGGCGGCUUACUGGACUGUAACUGACGUUGAGGCUCGAAGGCGUGGGGAGCAAACAGGAUUAGAUACCCCAGUAGUC